This 174-nucleotide ribosomal RNA is filed under the name uncultured bacterium. RNAcentral describes it as "partial 16S ribosomal RNA". It matches the Rfam family "Bacterial small subunit ribosomal RNA", at positions 1320 to 1500 of the family's 1533-position model. The record is from RNAcentral.
AUGAAGCUGGAUUCGCUAGUAAUCGCGCAUCAGCCACGGCGCGGUGAAUACGUUCCCGGGCCUUGUACACACCGCCCGUCAAGCCAUGGAAGCCGGGGGGUGCCUGAAGUGCGCUGCCGCGAGGAGCGCCCUAGGGUAAAACCGGUGACUGGGGCUAAGUCGUAACAAGGUAUC